CGGCCGAAAUGAGACAACAUAGUAAGGCAAUAUAUGAAUAUUAAUUAGCCGAGCGGUGCUGCGGGCAGGGCGGCGGUUGCAACACAGUGGCAGUUGAAGGCAGUAACCCCGCCUUUGCCAGUUAAUACACAGAAAAAGACCUGUAACGGGCAAACGGCGCAGCGGAUCCGGGCAAGGUGUUUGACUAAAGCAUCAUGCGUUCCUGUGAUGACUCCCGCGCCAAUCACAUCUGGUCUCAGCCUCCACAUCCUUCUUAGCUCCAAAGAGUCAUGCCCCUUCAGAUCAUCACAUGACAAGAACAAGUUUACAUCCUUAUAGUUAUAUUUAAUAAAAGUUCCUUUAAGACUACAAACAGAUAUCUUGAAAACCACUGGAAAUUUAUAAACAAGAUAUAUUAGAAAAUGUUUAAUCCUUUUGUUGAUUUAUCAAUAAAGAAGCCAAUG
Hyla sarda is the source of this 443-nucleotide long non-coding RNA. RefSeq lists it as uncharacterized. Lineage: Eukaryota; Metazoa; Chordata; Amphibia; Anura; Hylidae. The transcript is spliced from 3 exons. The record is from RefSeq and is a predicted model, not a curated record.